GUGUCAGCCGCCGCGGUAAAACGUAGGAGGCGAGCGUUAUCCGGAUUUACUGGGUGUAAAGCGUGUGCAGGCGGACCGGCAAGUUGGAUGUGAAAGCUCCUGGCUUAACUGGGAGAGGUCGUUCAAAACUGCCGGACUUGAGUAUGGGAGAGGGAGGCGGAAUUCCGGGUGUAGUGGUGAAAUGCGUAGAUAUCCGGAGGAACACCAGUGGCGAAAGCGGCCUCCUGGCCCAAAACUGACGCUCAGACACGAAAGCUAGGGGAGCGAACGGGAUUAGAAACCCCCGUAGUCC
RNAcentral lists this ribosomal RNA (292 nucleotides) under uncultured bacterium. RNAcentral's name for it is "partial 16S ribosomal RNA". It matches the Rfam family "Bacterial small subunit ribosomal RNA", at positions 505 to 796 of the family's 1533-position model. The record is from RNAcentral.